RNAcentral lists this transfer RNA (73 nucleotides) under Felis catus (domestic cat). It matches the Rfam family "tRNA". Rfam says of the family: Transfer RNA (tRNA) molecules are approximately 80 nucleotides in length. Their secondary structure includes four short double-helical elements and three loops (D, anti-codon, and T loops). Lineage: Eukaryota; Metazoa; Chordata; Mammalia; Carnivora; Felidae. RNAcentral also lists the same sequence under 4 other names. The record is from Rfam by way of RNAcentral.
GCCUAGGUGGCUCAGUCGGUAGAAUAUGUGACUCGUGAUCUCAGUGUUGUGAGUUUGAACCCCACGUUGGGCA